CCUACGGGAGGCAGCAGUGAGGAAUAUUGGUCAAUGGACGCAAGUCUGAACCAGCAAUGCCGCGUGCAGGAAGACGGCUCUAUGAGUUGUAACCUGCUUUUGUACGAGGGUAAACGCAGAUACGCGUAUCUGUCUGACAGUAUCGUACGACUAAGGAUCGGCUAACUCCGUGCCAGCAGCCGAGGUAAUACGGAGGAUUCAAGCGUUAUCCGGAUUUAUUGGGUUUAAAGGGUGCGUAGGAGGUCGGAUAAGUUAGAGGUGAAAUCCCGAGGCUCAACUUGGGAAUUGCCUCUGAUACUGUUCGGCUAGAGAGUAGUUGCGGUAGUCGGAAUGUAUGGUGUAGCGGUGAAAUGCGUAGAGAUCAGACAGAACACCGAUGGCGAAGGCAGCUUACUAAGCGACUUCUGACGGUGAGGCACGAAAGCGUGGGGAGCAAACAGGAUUAGAUACCCGUGUAGUC
Molecule: ribosomal RNA, 460 nt
Filed under: uncultured bacterium
Lineage: Bacteria
Description: partial 16S ribosomal RNA
Rfam family: Bacterial small subunit ribosomal RNA
Source: RNAcentral